AGUGAACGCUGGCGGUAGGCCUAACACAUGCAAGUCGAACGGCAGCACAGUAAGAGCUUGCUCUUACGGGUGGCGAGUGGCGGACGGGUGAGGAAUACAUCGGAAUCUACUUUUUCGUGGGGGAUAACGUAGGGAAACUUACGCUAAUACCGCAUACGACCUACGGGUGAAAGCAGGGGAUCUUCGGACCUUGCGCGAUUGAAUGAGCCGAUGUCGGAUUAGCUAGUUGGCGGGGUAAAGGCCCACCAAGGCGACGAUCCGUAGCUGGUCUGAGAGGAUGAUCAGCCACACUGGAACUGAGACACGGUCCAGACUCCUACGGGAGGCAGCAGUGGGGAAUAUUGGACAAUGGGCGCAAGCCUGAUCCAGCCAUACCGCGUGGGUGAAGAAGGCCUUCGGGUUGCAAAGCCCUUUUGUUGGGAAAGAAAAGCAGCAGGUUAAUACCCCGCUGUUCUGACGGUACCCAAAGAAUAAGCACCGGCUAACUUCGU
RNAcentral lists this ribosomal RNA (491 nucleotides) under uncultured bacterium. Its description in RNAcentral is "partial 16S ribosomal RNA". It matches the Rfam family "Bacterial small subunit ribosomal RNA", at positions 29 to 506 of the family's 1533-position model. The record is from RNAcentral.